AAUAUUGGACAAUGGGCGAAAGCCUGAUCCAGCCAUGCCGCGUGUGUGAAGAAAGUUUUCGGAUCGUAAAACUCUGUUGUAAGGGAAGAACAAGUACAGUAGUAACUGGCUGUACCUUGACGGUACCUUAUUAGAAAGCAACGGCUAACUACGUUCCAGCAGCCGCGGUAAUACGUAGGUGGCAAGCGUUGUCCGGAAUUAUUGGGCGUAAAGCGCGCGCAGGCGGUCCUUUAAGUCUGAUGUGAAAGCCCACGGCUCAACCGUGGAGGGUCAUUGGAAACUGGGGGACUUGAGUGCAGAAGAGGAAAGUGGAAUUCCAAGUGUAGCGGUGAAAUGCGUAGAGAUUUGGAGGAACACCAGUGGCGAAGGCGACUUUCUGGUCUGUAACUGACGCUGAGGCGCGAAAGCGUGGGUAGCAAACAGG
This 424-nucleotide ribosomal RNA is filed under the name uncultured bacterium. RNAcentral's name for it is "partial 16S ribosomal RNA". It matches the Rfam family "Bacterial small subunit ribosomal RNA", at positions 360 to 776 of the family's 1533-position model. The record is from RNAcentral.